GGGGAGAAAUGACAUUUGGUUGUAGGGUUUGGAGUUCCCUGGUGGCCUAACAGAUCCUUAAGUCUUUGGCAUUGUCACUGUUGUGAAGGCAGACAGUGAAAGACAAACAUCAUAUGACAUCACCUAUAUGUGGAAUCUAAAAAAGGAUACAAAUGAACAUACUUGCAGAAUAGAAACAGACUCACAUAUUUUGAAAACAAAGUUAUGGUUACCAAAGGGGCAGGCUGUGGGAGGGAUGGACUUGGUUGGGACUAGCUAUGCACACUGUGGUUUAUGGAAUAUUUGGCCAUUGGGGACCUGCUGUAUAGCACAGGGAACUCUACCCAAUAUUCUAUGAUAAUCUAUGUGGGAAAAGAAUCUGAAAGAGAAUGGAUGUGUGUACAUGUAUAACCAAAUCACUUUAUUGUACAGCAGAAAUUAUCACAACCUUGUAAAUCAACUAUACUUCAAUAAAAUGUUAAAAAAUGACAAAAAAAGAAUAAACUUUUUCCUCAUUUACUGUAGAAGUCAGUCUUGGGUGUUUGACAACAGUUCUUAGCAUGGGUCAUUUGGGAUUAUUUCUGGAGAGCUAGUGUACACAUCUCCUCUGAAAUUAAAUAUGCUUGUUGGUGGUCCUUUGCUUUCUACCCUGGAUCAGACAAGUCAAGUUUCUAUCUUAGAAUGUAAUAAAACGUCACCCACACACCAGGUCUGAAUAGAUACCCCUUUGCUUGGCACUGUGCACAUGGCUUUGAAAAUGUGAAUGUUUUAGUUGUCAAACUUUUCUGCUCUCCCUAUGGAUUCUGAGCUCAUUCGGAAUCUCUGUGUUCUUUUUAUAACACUACUGGCAAUAAAAUUGAGAGAAAAAUUGCAAUACAAGUAUUUUCAGAUUAGUCUGGGGGCAAAUGUGAUGAAACAAAUUGAGAAGCAGUAGUCAUUUCUCAUUUUUCCUUGGAAGAGGAAAGUGGGUCUCUACCCAGAGAUGGUGUUGAACUUGUACUGGAGAUUGAACUGCCUUCUGAGCCCUGGAGUCUGUUUCAGGUCACUGAGGUACUGGUUGACAUACUCACUUCUGCCUGUGGCCUAAGGGAGGGUGGUAUGAAGGUGGGAGGCCAAAUAGAGAAUGCUAGGGUCUUAGGAGAAACAGCUGCCGUGGCUGGCUUUUUAGUGCAGAUAAUAAAAUAGCUUGGAGUGUUUCACAUGAGAUAGAUAUGUUCUAAAGAAAAUACUGCCACUUGGGAUACUGCCAAGCUUUAUCUACCCCAAGUGUUUUUAUACUCACUUAAAAUUUUCUCUCUUCUCUCUUUCUUAUUUUUCUUAAAGAAAUAGAAAAGCCAGUCCAGACAGAAUAAAAAUUGACCUAAGUGCUCAUUAGAACAUGUGCUUACUCAGGCUCUCUUAAGAUUUCUUCUAUUUACCCAGAAACUACAAUAAAACCUUCCUUAUACCAUAGCCACAGGACAUGGAUAAACCUAGGGCUUGGGCUUUGGAAAGUGUUUGUAGGCAAAUGGAUGGAGGGACGACAUGAGUAGCCAUUGAUAGCAGUGUUUCUCUAUAGUUUACAGGUCUUUUUUUCUUUAAAAAAAUUUUUAUGUGAUAUCUGCUUUGCUUCAACUUGAGAACUUUUGUUUAUAUUUGUUUUCCCAUCUUAGAAAGUCUAUUCAAAGGUUACUUUUUAAAAAUGUACUUUACUGUUUCCCUUGGUGUGAGAAAGUGUUGUUUUAGGAAGACGUUUUCCCAGGUCAAUUAAUCAGUUCUUCCUCAGUGUAACUAAACCAGCCAGAGGCUCUAGAAUGGUUUUUAUAUUACAACUAGUCAGUCAGUUCAUGUCAAACUUCUACUGGGAACAGGGCACCAUGCUCUAUUUCAAGAUAUAACGUGACUAGCUCUUGAUGAGUGUGUACAAUUUCAUAGAAACCUGAUAAUCUGGAAGAUUGCAGAUUAGCCCUAUAAGUAAUCUGGAAAAUCCAGGCAGGAAUAUUGUGAUCUACCCUAAAUUCUUUAGCUAAUAAGGCAAUUUCCCUGUUUUGUUUUUUGUCUGGAUCUGGUACUCUAACAGUUGCAAUGACUACUCAUUUUAUUGGGAGUUGCUCUGGUUUGGUUUUUGUUGUUGCUGUUCUUGUCCUUGUAUUUAUUCAGUUCUAGCAUUCAUGGUUUACCAUCAGGCACAGCUCAUCAAGAAGCUAUGAAAAGAAACUUCUUGAUGAAUCAAAUUCUUUCUUUGUUGAGCAUUGUGCUUGCUCCACUUAUUUGUCCAUGGAAAUUCCUAGGACGAUGCAAGCUCAGCUCAUACCACCUUGAACCCCUGGGGGGGAAUGCAUGAAAAUAUACCUCAGGGCCUGUGCAAAAGAAGUUAUUUUUUUUUCAUAGAGUCACUUCUCAGAAAUUGUAAAUGAAACCAAAAUGAAUAAAUUGGAAUUACAGUAGAUUACAUGCUGAAGGCAUGAGAAUGAGGAGAAAAAGUUCUUGUUUUAUUUUUUGCCAUAUUUUGUCAGGAAUUGUGAUGAAAACACCAUUAAAAUCUAGACAAUAUCUUUUGACCAAAUAUAUAUAUGGUUUUGAGAAAAGAUAUAUAUACACACAUGUACAUAUAUGUAUGUUGUUUCCCUUUGGUAGCUUUUUUCUUUGUUGAAAUUCUUAUAUAUCUAAAGAAGUUUUCUCUCAGGAGGAUAGUUCUCCACCAGUGAUUUUUCAAAUCAUUAUUGUUAGUAUUAAACCCACAUUUCAGUGUACACUUCUUUUAUGGCCUGAUCUCAACUCCUAGAUCGGCUUAUUUCUUCUAACUUGAUAUGAGGAAGACCACAGUGAGACAUGGCUAUAAUUGAAGUAUAGCAGAUAUUGAAGGGAGUCAAAUGAUUUCUUCUCAUUUUCCAUUUAUUGCACAUCACAGGAUCGUUUUUCUUUAUAAACAAUAUCCCGUUGUGUACAUUAGUUCAAGUUUUGGUUACUUGUGCAUUUUUGAACUACUUUUUUUUAAAUCACUCAAUGAAUUUUAUUACAUUUAUAGUUGUACAAUGAUCAUCACAACCCGGUUUUAUAGCAUUUCCAUCCCAAACCCCCAGCGCUUGACUUUAACAAAAUCAUUGAAUAAAAUUUUCUUUUCAACCCUUGUGUUUACUUCUCUCCUAUUCUAGAGAAGAAAGCAGUUUAGUAAUGUAGGAGAUUUAAUGAACAUACUUGGUAAUUUAAGAAUGUAAAUGAAAUUGUUGCUAGAAUUGACAUCUCUGCACCACAACUCAUGGCUCUGUUUUAUUAAAGUAAACAUCCAAAAGAGAAGAGGAAUAGACAAUCAGACAUUCAGAUAUUUUGUCAACAUGCGUUUAAGUGUCCAGAUGUUUUAGAAACAUCUGGUGUUUGACAAUUUUGUUUGUUCCCACGGCUGUUUAGUGUUGCAUAGGCACAAAGAUGUCCCCUUCAUUUGAAGACCCUAAUAAUCUCUUAAAGCAAUGUAUUUCAUAUUACAUACCAGAACCCACAUUUUAAAUCAUGGCCCAUGAUUGUGGAAGACAGAAAUCUGGCUAAUAUGCUAGCCUGGCUGUGGCAUGACUAUGAGUAUCAGGUUUCUAAGAUAUUAGCUUACCACUCGUGCAUCCCAGCUUUUUCUGUAUCAAUGAUUUAUAUUGAGUAGAUGCAAGUAUACAUUUUUUUAAUGGAUACAUUUAACUACAUUGCUAUUUGGCUAAUAAAUUUUGAUUUUUCAUUUGCAGUUGUUUGUCUUUCUUACUAAUCUUUUUUUUUUUUUUAGUUCGUUUUUUUCCUUUAUCAACAUUGUUUUUCAUUUUUAUUCUUUGAACUUGCUGUUUAUGCUUGGCUACCUCUCCACUUGCUCAGGAUAACUUUGAAUUCUCAUCUCUUUUUAAAAUUUAGUCUAAAGUUUGAGUUAGCUAAAGAACUGAUAACAACUUUCUAAUCACUUUAUUCAGAGAACCAGAGAAAUUGUCUUGUUUCUAUUGACUGACUCUUCUUAAAUACUAAUUACUAAGUGGAUCCAAGACAAUAUUGUCAUCUGAUGAAUCCUUGAUAUAUUCUAACAGUCAGCUGUGUCUGUAUGAUACAGGAAACCAGUGGUUCUGUGACUGUGGUACUUCUCAGAGUAUGGAAUUCCCAUGGCAGCUGCACAGCCACCAAAAUUCAUUGAAAUAUGUUAGGAAUUACACAAAACUGGCCAUAUGGAAAAUACAUAAACUACCACUUUGUUUUCAGAUGAUCUGCUGUAGUCAAAAUUGAAUUUAAGUUUUUUCUUGUUCCUUUUAUAGAGUAUAACAUUUGGUCAGAUUUAGCUCUCUUAAAUGUUAUUGCAAAAUGAUCUAACAUGCUGCAGGUACUAACUGUACAUACUAACUGAACUCUUGGAUAGAUAUGUUGGUUGAAAUGAAUACAUGAUUGUGUUCCAUGAUUUUGUUGGAGUCCAGGUGAUGGAGACAUCUGGUAAUGAAAGAAGACAGGGAAGAAAAUAUUCUCCAAGUUUGAGAAUGUUAUUUUAGAUUUUCACCUGCUUUCAAGAUGAAAUGCACAAGAUGUAAAUGAAAAGAUGACUGGGAAAUCAAAAUAGUGUUCAGCUCUAGAGGACCAAUAGAGGUCAUUAAUGGUGCCUGGGCUGGGGUGAAAAAUGGGGGUGAGAGGAGACACAUUGGGAGAAAACAGUGCUUUUUGAGUAUGAAAUAUGGGGAGGAUAGUGACCUCAGAGGUGACACACUAUCAAUAAUCCUCGUAUGUGUGAUGGAGAAUUGCAUUAUUUACAUGUCAACCAUUUCUUCAAGUGCCUCCAUAAUAAUUUUGCAUAUUUAUUGUUUUAUCAAUAAAUAGUAUGUUUCAAUAUAUAUCCUUCAUAUAGGUAUUUUUUCCUUAUCUAGGAGUGAUUCAUUUCCAAAUGUGUUGUUAUCAGGAAUUCACAGAUUCACUGACAAGAGAGAAAUAUAGCAUAGGGUUUCAUCUAAAUGGAACCAAAUGGAUCCAUAUUUAGAGAUCUGUUUAUCCUGUUAGUCCAAUUUAUUCUUUCACUCUCUAGAUUUCUAUUGACUUCAUACUCUGUAAAACUUGUAAUGGAGAUGGAUUUAAAAAAUGUAAAAUGCAGAGCUUGCUUUCUGGAAUUUUAUAGAUUAUGUAAAAGUCACAUUCAUGAUGAUAAGAGGUGGUAUAUACUUAAAGCCAAAAUUAGCAUUAAAGAGAGCUAUAUCGACUCUUGUAGGCCUGGAGGGAUUGGAUAAUGAAGAAAUCCUCAGGACUAACCACCUCCAAACUCUUGGCUUACCUGCGGCCACAUUUUGGGACAAUUCUUUUUCUAAGGAGGAGAAAUUUAUGAAGCUUCAGUUAAUUCAUCUAGGUAGCUCAGAGUUACGUCAGUCUGGCUGCUCGUCAGGCUUUAUCCUGUGGCCCAGUUUUAGGGAUUGGGCCCCAGGGCUGUACUUGGAACAAAGCCAUGGUCAUAUACCCUGCUGUCAGUUAUGUAAUCUUGUACUCCUAUGCUUUUGUGCCUUUAAUAUUCAAUUAAGGGAUGUAUAAUAGAAUUGCCAAGACAAGAAAUGAAUUGUGGUAUAUAUUAGGUCAGCAUGUUUUGGUGGACUUUGCCAAAAACAUUUGGGAUAUUACACUUCUAUGAGAAGAAUUCAGGGAUUAGAAAUGGGUGGGUUAGAAGGCCUGGGGUCUUCGUUUGUGGUAUCGUUUAUUCCUGAAAUAUUAGAUCAUAGAGUUCAGUCAAAGAAGGCAGAAUUACACCAAUGGACUAGUAGAAGAAUGAAGGUUUUUUUUUUUAAUAUUCUAGAGGAUAAGAUGACGAUGAAAUAUGCAUUCUAUGGGAAGGGCAAAGUAAGAUAGACGGAAGGAUGUCCCUGUAGGGCAGAGAUUGGAAUGUAUUUUUCAUUGUGUCCUCAGCGUUUACAUAGCAUCUGGAACAUAGUAGAUGUAAAACAAAAUCUGCUGGGUGACUGAUGGAAAGAGAAUAUCAAAUUUGAGACUCUAAUUUCCAAUGAUGAUAUAAGAUAAUGGGUGGUGCCAAGGUUGAAGAAAUAUAACACCAGAGCAUCUCCUGGACAUGGAGGAAUUAAUUAUGAGCCAGAGUACUGUCUGGAGGCAAGCGUUUUCAUUACAAACAAGAGGAAAAAGAAAGCUUAGAAGAUAGUGAAAUAGAAGUAGGUUUGAAACCCAGUGGGAAGCAGAGAAUAAGCAGAUCUCUCAUUCCAGCCCCUUGAGGUGAUAAAGGUGGUAGGGUCCAGGGGAGGGACAAGUGACAAUCUUUGGUGAUUUUGGUUAAGCCACAUUUGCCAAGAGGAAGAAAUGGUCUUAGUAAAAAAUGUACAGGAAUUUGUUCAAAACAGAAUAGAAAUUCUAGAUAAACUGACACACAUAAGCAGUUUUGGAAAAGAGACCCUAGGAAGAAUGAGCAGAUAUGAAUAGGGUUGAGAAUAUAAGAGUAAAAGAAACAGUGAUAGUAAUAAUAGGAAUUAAGAUAAAUGGUUCAAGGGAGAUUGGAAACAUGAAUUUUAAAAUCUUAAACAUAUUUAUUUUGCUAUAAUUACUGGGUAUCCAAGUGGAAAUAUCCAGUGAACAGAUGAGCGUGUUUGAGUACAAUUAUUUAUGUCUUUUGUUUUGGUUACUUUGCAUUUGAUAUUUAAUAUUUUGCAAAGGAAAUUGGAACUAUUACAAAACAAGGAUAAUCAAUGCUGGAGAGAAUAUUAAGAUUGUUGAAGGUCAUAAAGCUAGCAUUUAGUGAGCCCUUAACUAUGUGUCAGGUGCAGUUUAGAGCGCUUUAAAAACAUCAAUUAGUGUAUUCUCCAAAAAGGCCCUAGAGGAUGAGUACCAGCAUUGUCCCAAAGCCAUGG
RNAcentral lists this long non-coding RNA (6797 nucleotides) under Sus scrofa (pig). Its description in RNAcentral is "lncRNA (ENSSSCG00000061260.1)". The record is from RNAcentral. Lineage: Eukaryota; Metazoa; Chordata; Mammalia; Artiodactyla; Suidae.